CCAGACUCCUACGGGAGGCAGCAGUGGGGAAUAUUGCACAAUGGGGGAAACCCUGAUGCAGCGACGCCGCGUGAGUGAGGAAGUAUUUCGGUAUGUAAAGCUCUAUCAGCAGGGAAGAAAAAAUGACGGUACCUGACUAAGAAGCACCGGCUAAAUACGUGCCAGCAGCCGCGGUAAUACGUAUGGUGCAAGCGUUAUCCGGAUUUACUGGGUGUAAAGGGAGCGCAGGCGGUACGGCAAGUCUGAUGUGAAAGCCCGGGGCUCAACCCCGGUACUGCAUUGGAACUGCAUGGCUGGAGUACAGGAGGGGCAGGCGGAAUUCCUAGUGUAGCGGUGAAAUGCGUAGAUAUUAGGAGGAACACCGGUGGCGAAGGCGGCCUGCUGGACUGUGACUGACGUUGAGGCCCGAAGGCGUGGGGAGCAAACAGGAUUAGAUACCCGGGUAA
RNAcentral lists this ribosomal RNA (446 nucleotides) under uncultured bacterium. RNAcentral describes it as "bacterial SSU rRNA". It matches the Rfam family "Bacterial small subunit ribosomal RNA", at positions 331 to 793 of the family's 1533-position model. The record is from RNAcentral.